CCUACGGGAGGCAGCAGUGAGGAAUAUUGGUCAAUGGUCGGGAGACUGAACCAGCCAAGCCGCGUGAGGGAUGAAGGUACAGAGUAUCGUAAACCUCUUUUGUCAGGGAACAAAGGCGGGGACGUGUCCCCGGAUGAGUGUACCUGAAGAAAAAGCAUCGGCUAACUCCGUGCCAGCAGCCGCGGUAAUACGGAGGAUGCGAGCGUUAUCCGGAUUUAUUGGGUUUAAAGGGUGCGCAGGCGGUCUGUUAAGUCAGCGGUCAAAGCCCGGGGCUCAACCCCGGCCCGCCGUUGAAACUGGCAGUCGCGAGUUGGAGAGAAGUAUGCGGAAUGCGCGGUGUAGCGGUGAAAUGCAUAGAGAGCGCGCAGAACUGCGAUUGCGAAGGGAGCAUGCCGGCUCCACACUGAGGCGGAGGCACGAAAGCGUGGGUAUCGAACAGGAUUAGAUACCCGUGUAGUC
This 459-nucleotide ribosomal RNA is filed under the name uncultured bacterium. RNAcentral's name for it is "partial 16S ribosomal RNA". It matches the Rfam family "Bacterial small subunit ribosomal RNA", at positions 338 to 795 of the family's 1533-position model. The record is from RNAcentral.